RNAcentral lists this ribosomal RNA (253 nucleotides) under uncultured bacterium. RNAcentral describes it as "partial 16S ribosomal RNA". It matches the Rfam family "Bacterial small subunit ribosomal RNA", at positions 524 to 776 of the family's 1533-position model. The record is from RNAcentral.
UACGUAGGGACCAAGCGUUGUUCGGAUUUACUGGGCGUAAAGGGCGCGUAGGCGGCUUGACAAGUCACUUGUGAAAUCUCCGGGCUUAACUCGGAACGGCCAAGUGAAACUGUCAUGCUAGAGUGCAGAAGGGGCAAUUGGAAUUCUUGGUGUAGCGGUGAAAUGCGUAGAGAUCAUGAGGAAGACCAGUGGCGAAGGCGGGUCUCUGGACAGUUCCUGACACUGAGACACGAAGGCCAGGGGAGCAAACGGG